UUCGAUUACAAAUGUUACGAAACGAAAAUUCCGGAUGACGAAUUUUCGGAAGCCGAAAAUUCAUUUCUAGACGAAAAAGAUCGAAUUAAAACAAUACUUUUACACAAUAAAUAUAGAAGCGAAUGCCUUCCAUCAGCCGUUAACAUGAAAUAUCUGAUUACGUAUCAAGAAUUACGCUGUUUAUAAAAUUAGAAUAAGAUGUUCUUUAUGUAAUCACGGUUAUCUUUGUCAUUCCGGUGUCUGCAUGCAAAGAUUUAAAUACAUGGAAAUACAACCAAAAUAAGCAUUAACAAGAAACUUUUUUGAUAUUAAAUUAUAAAAAUACAAUGGUGGGAAGCCGAAGAAAGAUGUAUCUUACUUUUUCACUGAACAUUUUAAAUUUUAUUGAUCUUUACAAAGAAACUCUUUCUAUAUUGAUAUGUAUGACUAUUAUGGUAAAUGAAAACGA
Long non-coding RNA from Centruroides sculpturatus (bark scorpion), 448 nucleotides. RefSeq lists it as uncharacterized. The transcript is spliced from 3 exons. NCBI's taxonomy places the organism in Eukaryota, Metazoa, Arthropoda, Arachnida, Scorpiones, Buthidae. The record is from RefSeq and is a predicted model, not a curated record.